This 253-nucleotide ribosomal RNA is filed under the name uncultured bacterium. Its description in RNAcentral is "partial 16S ribosomal RNA". It matches the Rfam family "Bacterial small subunit ribosomal RNA", at positions 524 to 776 of the family's 1533-position model. The record is from RNAcentral.
GACGAACCGUGCGAACGUUGUUCGGAAUCACUGGGCUUAAAGGGCGCGUAGGCGGGUCAGCAAGUCCGGGGUGAAAUCUUUCAGCUCAACUGGAAAAGUGCCUUGGAUACUGCUGGUCUUGAGGGAGGUAGGGGCCUGCGGAACUUCUGGUGGAGCGGUGAAAUGCGUUGAUAUCAGAAGGAACGCCGGUGGCGAAAGCGGCGGGCUGGACCUCUUCUGACGCUGAGGCGCGAAAGCUAGGGGAGCAAACGGG